Molecule: non-coding RNA, 25 nt
Filed under: Arabidopsis thaliana (thale cress)
Lineage: Eukaryota; Viridiplantae; Streptophyta; Magnoliopsida; Brassicales; Brassicaceae
Source: RNAcentral
UAAUUGGCCGGGUCGUGCCUCCGGC